GGAAGAUGUUAAGGGCGCGAGGCGGAUGCCUUGGCGCGGGAAGUCGACGAAGGGCGCGGCAAGCUGCGAUAAGCCCGGGGGAGGCGCAAACGGCCUUCGAUCCCGGGAUUCCCGAAUGGGGGAACCCAGCGGGGGCAAUGCCCCGCUACCGGCGCCUGAAUCAAAUAGGGCGCCAGGAGGCAACCGGGGGAACUGAAACAUCUAAGUACCCCGAGGAAGAGAAAUCAACCGAGAUCCCGGGAGUAGCGGCGAGCGAAACCGGGCCAGCCCAAACCGGCGCGCGUGUCACAGCGUGCGGGCGCUUCCGCGCCGGGGUUGCUGGGCGGGACGCGAGGGGGCCGCACCCCCCUCCCGCUGUCAUAAACCUGCCCCUCAGGGGAACGGCCUGGGAAGGCCGGCGGAACAGGGUGAGAGCCCCGUACCCGAAGAGGCGCAGGCAGCGGGUUCCCGAUUACCCAGAGUAGCGCGGGGCACGUGAAACCCCGCGCGAAGCAGGGGGGACCACCCUCCAAGGCUGAACACUCUCCCGCGACCGAUAGCGAACCAGUACCGCGAGGGAAAGGUGAAAAGCACCCCGAGAGGGGAGUGAAACAGCGCCUGAAACCUCGCGCCCACGAGCAGCCGGAGCACCCGCAGCGGUGUGACGGCGUGCCUUUUGUAGAAUGAGCCAGCGAGUCACCGCGCGCGGCGAGGUUAAGCUAUAGAAGCGAGCCGCAGCGAAAGCGAGUCUUUAAGCGGGCGACGCAGUCGCGCGCGGUGGACGCGAAGCCGGGUGAGCUACCCAUGGGCAGGCUGAAGCGGGGGUAAGACCCCGUGGAGGGCCGAACCCACUUCGGUUGAAAACGGAGGGGAUGACCCGUGGGUAGGGGUGAAAGGCCAAUCAAACCCGGAGAUAUCUCGUUCUCCCCGAAAUAGCUUUAGGGCUAGCCCCGGCCGUUUUCCCGCGGCGGUAGAGCACUGGACGGAGGAGGGGGCCUCACCGCCUACCGAUGCCGACCAAACUCCGAAUGCCGACGGGACCUGAAGGCCGGGAGUCAGAGCAUGUGGGCUAAGCUGUGUGCUCGAGAGGGAAACAGCCCAGACCGCCCGCUAAGGCCCCCAAGUCGUCGCUGAGUGGCAAAGGAUGUGCCCCUGCCCAGACAACCAGGAUGUUGGCUUAGAAGCAGCCAUGCAUUCAAAGAGUGCGUAACAGCUCACUGGUCGAGUGGGGGCGCGCCGACAAUUCACGGGGCUAAGCGACGCGCCGAAGCGGCGGAAUGUAGAUACAUUGGUAGGGGAGCUUCCCCUGGGCGGAGAAGCCGGAGGGCGACCGACGGUGGAGCGCAGGGGAGUGAGGAUGCUGGCAUGAGUAACGAGAGCGGCGCGGGAAACGCCGCCGCCGUAAGCCCAAGGUUUCCUGGGGAAGGCUAAUCCUCCCAGGGUCAGUCGGGAGCUAAGGCGAGGCCGGAAGGCGUAGCCGAUGCGCAACAGGCGGACAUUCCUGUACCGCCUCUGGACCGCUAUUCAGACCGACGGGGCGACGGAGAAGGGUACGCAGGCGGGGUUCUGGACGCCCCCGUGAAAGCGCGUAGGCCGCAGGGCAGGCAAACCCGCCCUGCACGCAAGGCCGAGACGCGAGACGAAGCCUCAUGGCGAAGCUGCGGAGCCCACGCUCCCUGGAAAAACCCCUAGGCAGGGACAGAGGCGCCCGUACCAAAACCGACACAGGUGGGCGGGUAGAGCAUACCGAGGCGAUCGGGGGAACCAUGGUCAAGGAACUCGGCAUAACCGCUCCGUAACUUCGGGAGAAGGAGCGCCGCCCGGGGUGGAGGGACACGCUCCCCGAGCCCUGGGCGGCCGCAGCGAAACGGCCCAAGCGACUGUUUACCAAAAACACAGGACUCUGCCAACCCGCGAGGGGAAGUAUAGGGUCUGACGCCUGCCCGGUGCCGGAAGGUUACGCGGAUGCGUUAGCGCAAGCGAAGCGCUGAAGCCAAGCCCCGGUAAACGGCGGCCGUAACUAUAACGGUCCUAAGGUAGCGAAAUUCCUUGUCGGGUAAGUUCCGACCUGCACGAACGGCGUAACGACUUGGGCGCUGUCUCGAC
Molecule: ribosomal RNA, 2085 nt
Filed under: metagenome
Description: bacterial LSU rRNA
Rfam family: Bacterial large subunit ribosomal RNA
Source: RNAcentral